Molecule: ribosomal RNA, 1460 nt
Filed under: uncultured organism
Description: 16S ribosomal RNA
Rfam family: Bacterial small subunit ribosomal RNA
Source: RNAcentral
GUUUGAUCAUGGCUCAGAUUGAACGCUGGCGGCAGGCCUAACACAUGCAAGUCGAACGGUAACAGGAAGAAGCUUGCUUCUUUGCUGACGAGUGGCGGACGGGUGAGUAAUGUCUGGGAAACUGCCUGAUGGAGGGGGAUAACUACUGGAAACGGUAGCUAAUACCGCAUAACGUCGCAAGACCAAAGAGGGGGACCUUCGGGCCUCUUGCCAUCGGAUGUGCCCAGAUGGGAUUAGCUAGUAGGUGGGGUAAAGGCUCACCUAGGCGACGAUCCCUAGCUGGUCUGAGAGGAUGACCAGCCACACUGGAACUGAGACACGGUCCAGACUCCUACGGGAGGCAGCAGUGGGGAAUAUUGCACAAUGGGCGCAAGCCUGAUGCAGCCAUGCCGCGUGUAUGAAGAAGGCCUUCGGGUUGUAAAGUACUUUCAGCGGGGAGGAAGGGAGUAAAGUUAAUACCUUUGCUCAUUGACGUUACCCGCAGAAGAAGCACCGGCUAACUCCGUGCCAGCAGCCGCGGUAAUACGGAGGGUGCAAGCGUUAAUCGGAAUUACUGGGCGUAAAGCGCACGCAGGCGGCUUGUUAAGUCAGAUGUGAAAUCCCCGGGCUCAACCUGGGAACUGCAUCUGAUACUGGCAAGCUUGAGUCUCGUAGAGGGGGGUAGAAUUCCAGGUGUAGCGGCGAAAUGCGUAGAGAUCUGGAGGAAUACCGGUGGCGAAGGCGGCCCCCUGGACGAAGACUGACGCUCAGGUGCGAAAGCGUGGGGGAGCAAACAGGAUUAGAUACCCUGGUAGUCCACGCCGUAAACGAUGUCGACUUGGAGGUUGUGCCCUUGAGGCGUGGCUUCCGGAGCUAACGCGUUAAGUCGACCGCCUGGGGAGUACGGCCGCAAGGUUAAAACUCAAAUGAAUUGACGGGGGCCCGCACAAGCGGUGGAGCAUGUGGUUUAAUUCGAUGCAACGCGAAGAACCUUACCUGGUCUUGACAUCCACAGAACUUUCCAGAGAUGGAUUGGUGCCUUCGGGAACUGUGAGACAGGUGCUGCAUGGCUGUCGUCAGCUCGUGUUGUGAAAUGUUGGGUUAAGUCCCGCAACGAGCGCAACCCUUAUCCUUUGUUGCCAGCGGUCCGGCCGGGAACUCAAAGGAGACUGCCAGUGAUAAACUGGAGGAAGGUGGGGAUGACGUCAAGUCAUCAUGGCCCUUACGACCAGGGCUACACACGUGCUACAAUGGCGCAUACAAAGAGAAGCGACCUCGCGAGAGCAAGCGGACCUCAUAAAGUGCGUCGUAGUCCGGAUUGGAGUCUGCAACUCGACUCCAUGAAGUCGGAAUCGCUAGUAAUCGUGGAUCAGAAUGCCGCGGUGAAUACGUUCCCGGGCCUUGUACACACCGCCCGUCACACCAUGGGAGUGGGUUGCAAAAGAAGUAGAUAGCUUAACCUUCGGGAGGGCGCUUACCAC